GAUGAACGCUGGCGGCGUGCCUAAUACAUGCAAGUCGAGCGAACAGACGAGGAGCUUGCUCCUCUGACGUUAGCGGCGGACGGGUGAGUAACACGUGGAUAACCUACCUAUAAGACUGGGAUAACUUCGGGAAACCGGUGCUAAUACCGGAUAAUAUAUUGAACCGCAUGGUUCAAUAGUGAAAGACGGUUUUGCUGUCACUUAUAGAUGGAUCCGCGCCGCAUUAGCUAGUUGGUAAGGUAACGGCUUACCAAGGCAACGAUGCGUAGCCGACCUGAGAGGAUGAUCAGCCACACUGGAACUGAGACACGGUCCAGACUCCUACGGGAGGCAGCAGUAGGGAAUCUUCCGCAAUGGGCGAAAGCCUGACGGAGCAACGCCGCGUGAGUGAUGAAGGUCUUCGGAUCGUAAAACUCUGUUAUUAGGGAAGAACAAAUGUGUAAGUAACUAUGCACGUCUUGACGGUACCUAAUCAGAAAGCCACGGCUAACUACGUG
This 497-nucleotide ribosomal RNA is filed under the name uncultured bacterium. RNAcentral describes it as "partial 16S ribosomal RNA". It matches the Rfam family "Bacterial small subunit ribosomal RNA", at positions 28 to 507 of the family's 1533-position model. The record is from RNAcentral.